AUGAAUAAAAUCAUUAAUAAUGUACUGCUUCUAUUCUGAGAAUAGACCUAGGAAUUGCAAACGUUCAAGUAAAACAAUCAAACUUAGCAAUUGUAAAAAUAUAGUAAUAGUUUGAUUUCAAAAACACUAUGACCGUGUUUAGGCUACAUAAUGACGCUAGCGUUAGCAUUUCGUUAAAAAUAUACUACGUUUCUUAAACCGGUCAAACGAGGGUUGAUGAGAGUUUGGCGGUCACGAAUUGUUACAUUUGAAACUCUAGAUUAACAAAAUAAACGUUCCAACCAAAAAACGUUUCCAAAUAAAUGUCGAUAAGUGUUCCAACUAGCAUUAAGAAAAGCUAACUAUAAGGUCGCGUGAUUCCAACUCUCAUGUCUGCACUCUCAUCCCCAUAGUAUUGUGUUUACACGUACAAUAACGGAGUGGUUUGUGGUAGCGUAACAACUACCGACCACCACGUUUGCUACUGCGGACGCAAAUCGAUGCGCUCCGAUAAAUUUGCCGUAGCCGUCAUAGUGUAAAUACUGUUUUUCACUUCAAGCGUAGCGUACCGAAACGUGUCAGAAAAAUUUAGUGAAAGUUGAUUAUUUAAUACUUCU
Molecule: non-coding RNA, 596 nt
Organism: Paramuricea clavata
Lineage: Eukaryota; Metazoa; Cnidaria; Anthozoa; Malacalcyonacea; Plexauridae
Source: the annotation of a GenBank genome assembly